This is a long non-coding RNA of Stylophora pistillata, 472 nucleotides long. RefSeq lists it as uncharacterized. Lineage: Eukaryota; Metazoa; Cnidaria; Anthozoa; Scleractinia; Pocilloporidae. The record is from RefSeq and is a predicted model, not a curated record.
AUUUUUUCAUAGCGAUCAUAGUUCAUUUAUACAAUCAUCGGUUCAAGUUUUUUUUCCGAGAUACACAAUGUGUCGCAAUUGUCGGUGAUGUUCGUCAGCGUCUUGUGCUGUUUCAAACAAGCGAUUUUGGCAAUUUUGGAUGGUGUACGUGCUGCUGGCAAUGGAAAGGUACGAUGUACAUAUGAAACACUGCUUCUUCGGAGUGCUCGUCAGUCUGGGCAAACAAAUAUACAUCUGAAAAUAACUCCGGACCACAUUUCCUUCGUGACCUAAACGAAGAAGCGAUGAAGUUGCCUAUCGAUUCACUCGUAAGACAGUUAGUCGUCAAAAUAGCCCGUUUGAGCAAAGGCGGCCCAAGCUCUCUGAGAACCACCCAAAGAACACAAUUUGCAAAUCGAUUUAUGAGGAUUUUCUAGAAGAUAGCCAUAUAGAUAGUUAAAAGUGAAAAUAUUAGAUAAAAAGGCUUACCUUA